GCGCGUUAUAGCUUAGCGGCGCACUUUAGUUAGCAGUUAAAAAUUGUUAUAGAAACAACGGUUUUCUAAGGUUCGAAUCCUAGACUGCGCA
RNAcentral lists this transfer RNA (91 nucleotides) under Ulva rigida. Its description in RNAcentral is "tRNA-Ala". The record is from RNAcentral. Lineage: Eukaryota; Viridiplantae; Chlorophyta; Ulvophyceae; Ulvales; Ulvaceae.